AUUAGUUAGUUGAUUGGUCUGAUUGGUCAGUUGAUUGGUGGCUUGGUAAUUUGGUUGGUCGGUUAAGCAGUUGGUUGGUUAGUUUUAGGAUGGCUGGUUGGUUGGGUGGUUGGUCAGCCGGUCGAUCAGCCGCUCAGUCAAUCAGUUUGUUGGUUGGUUAGUUGAAAAGGUGAUCCGACUGUAGCUGUUUGUUUGGUAUUUAAAGAUCCAAUAUGUGAUACUUCAGCACCACUAGUUGUUGCAGUUGCACAUGAAUGAAUGUUGAACCAAAACAAAGGUGAUCAUGACAACUGUCAGUAAACUAACAUAACAUUAACAUAAUAUAUAACAUGUACACAGUUUUUAUACCUAAUUUUACAAUUUUUUUGGUUUCACUUUUCAUCAAACCUCUGCUGAACUGAACUGAGCUGAACUGAAGCCCAACACCAGACAUGUGGAGGAGCAGCCUCAUCCGCUGUCUUCCAUCUGAUGAUUUACACCGACACUGGGACGGAGAAACUUGAGAAGGGGCCUCAGCCAAAAAGCUCCACAUGGGAGAUCCACAUCAGUAUGUGAGUGGAAGAGCGGCAGCAGUUACGGUUGAUCUGAUAUUAAGUGGCUGGCUGCAUGGAAUUGAUUGGGGGAGCCACAUGUGGUCCAUGAGCCACGAGUUUGAGACCUCUGGCCUAACAGAGCAACACUUAAAUGAAUGAGGAGGUGCAGUGAAGACAGAAAUGUCCUAUGAGGACAUGAAAAUAAACCUGUCUGUCCACACUCACAAAGAAGGGCAAAAAGAAAAAAGAAAAAAGAAAAA
Molecule: long non-coding RNA, 793 nt
Organism: Solea senegalensis (Senegalese sole)
Lineage: Eukaryota; Metazoa; Chordata; Actinopteri; Pleuronectiformes; Soleidae
Exons: 3
Source: RefSeq, a predicted model, not a curated record